GGCCUCCCUUUGUGGGGUGAUCAAUCAUGGGGCUCCCAGAUCGAUAGCCCUGCAGAGGGAGGCC
This is a non-coding RNA of Myotis brandtii (Brandt's bat), 64 nucleotides long. The record is from Rfam. Lineage: Eukaryota; Metazoa; Chordata; Mammalia; Chiroptera; Vespertilionidae.